AGGACGAACGCUGGCGGCGUGCUUAACACAUGCAAGUCGAGCGGAAAGGCCCUUCGGGGUACUCGAGCGGCGAACGGGUGAGUAACACGUGAGCAACCUGCCCUUAGCUUCGGGAUAGCUCCGGGAAACCGGAAUUAAUACCGAAUAUGACUUUGGCUGACAUCAGCAGAAGUGGAAAGUUUUUCGGCUAGGGAUGGACUCGCGGCCUAUCAGCUAGUUGGUGAGGUAACGGCCCACCAAGGCGACGACGGGUAGCCGGCCUGAGAGGGCGACCGGCCACACUGGGACUGAGACACGGCCCAGACUCCUACGGGAGGCAGCAGUGGGGAAUAUUGCGCAAUGGGCGAAAGCCUGACGCAGCGACGCCGCGUGGGGGAUGAAUGCCUUCGGGUUGUAAACCCCUUUCAGCAGGGACGAAGCGAAAGUGACGGUACCUGCAGAAGAAGCGCCGGCUAACUACGUGCCAGCAGCCGC
This 474-nucleotide ribosomal RNA is filed under the name uncultured bacterium. RNAcentral's name for it is "SSU rRNA". It matches the Rfam family "Bacterial small subunit ribosomal RNA", at positions 26 to 518 of the family's 1533-position model. The record is from RNAcentral.